This 379-nucleotide ribosomal RNA is filed under the name uncultured cyanobacterium. RNAcentral describes it as "bacterial SSU rRNA". It matches the Rfam family "Bacterial small subunit ribosomal RNA", at positions 376 to 770 of the family's 1533-position model. Lineage: Bacteria; Bacillati; Cyanobacteriota. The record is from RNAcentral.
CGAAAGCCUGACGGAGCAACGCCGCGUGAGGGAUGAAGGCCUCUGGGCUGUAAACCUCUUUUCUCAAGGAAGAAGAUCUGACGGUACUUGAUGAAUAAGCCACGGCUAAUUCCGUGCCAGCAGCCGCGGUAAUACGGGAGUGGCAAGCGUUAUCCGGAAUUAUUGGGCGUAAAGCGUCCGCAGGCGGCCUUGUAAGUCUGUCGUCAAAGCGUGGAGCUUAACUCCAUUUCAGCGAUGGAAACUACAAGGCUUGAGUGUGGUAGGGGCAGAGGGAAUUCCCGGUGUAGCGGUGAAAUGCGUAGAUAUCGGGAAGAACACCAGUGGCGAAGGCGCUCUGCUGGGCCAUAACUGACGCUCAUGGACGAAAGCCAGGGGAGCG